UUUUAGCCCUGAUGGAAAGCGGUAUCCUUUUGUGUAAUGCAAUGGAACAAAAGAUACAGCGGACAGCAGGAAACAGC
This 77-nucleotide small RNA is filed under the name Flavobacterium noncentrifugens. RNAcentral's name for it is "Flavo-1 RNA". It matches the Rfam family "Flavo-1 RNA". The record is from Rfam by way of RNAcentral. Lineage: Bacteria; Pseudomonadati; Bacteroidota; Flavobacteriia; Flavobacteriales; Flavobacteriaceae.